AACGCACAUUGCGCCCAUUAGUAUUCUAGUGGGCAUGCCUGUUCGAGCGUCAUUUCAACCCUCAAGCCCUGCUGCUUGGUGUUGGGAGCCUGCCGUAGGGCAGCUCCUUAAAGCUAGUUGGCGGAGUUCUGGUAGGCUCUAAGCGUAGUAAUUACUUCUCGCUUCUGAGGCUGCUGGGACCACGGCCACUAAACCCCCUAUUUUUUUGUGGUUGACCUCGGAUCAGGUAAGAAUACCCGCUGAACUUAA
This 249-nucleotide unclassified non-coding RNA is filed under the name uncultured fungus. RNAcentral's name for it is "partial contains 5.8S ribosomal RNA, internal transcribed spacer 2, and large subunit ribosomal RNA". Lineage: Eukaryota; Fungi. The record is from RNAcentral.